AUCCUACGGGAGGCAGCAGUGGGGAAUCUUGCGCAAUGGGCGGAAGCCUGACGCAGCGACGCCGCGUGCGGGACGAAGGCCUUCGGGUCGUAAAACGCUUUCAGCAGGGACGAGGCCCUCACGGUGUCGGUACCUGCAGAAGAAGCACCGGCUGACUACGUGCCAGCAACCGCGGUACUACGUAGGGGGCGAGCGUUAUCCGGAUUCAUUGGGCGUAGAACGCGCGUAGGCGGCCUGUUAGGUCGGGGGCCAAAUACCGGGACGCAACC
This 269-nucleotide ribosomal RNA is filed under the name uncultured bacterium. Its description in RNAcentral is "partial 16S ribosomal RNA". It matches the Rfam family "Bacterial small subunit ribosomal RNA", at positions 335 to 614 of the family's 1533-position model. The record is from RNAcentral.